UGCGGGGUGGAGCAGAGGCAGCUCGCCAGGCUCAUAACCUGGAGGUCGUGGGUUCGAGUCCCGCCCCCGCUACCU
RNAcentral lists this transfer RNA (75 nucleotides) under Anaerolineae bacterium. Its description in RNAcentral is "tRNA-Met". It matches the Rfam family "tRNA". From Rfam's summary of the family: Transfer RNA (tRNA) molecules are approximately 80 nucleotides in length. Their secondary structure includes four short double-helical elements and three loops (D, anti-codon, and T loops). Further hydrogen bonds mediate the characteristic L-shaped molecular structure. tRNAs have two regions of fundamental functional importance: the anti-codon, which is responsible for specific mRNA codon recognition, and the 3' end, to which the tRNAs corresponding amino acid is attached (by aminoacyl-tRNA synthetases). tRNAs cope with the degeneracy of the genetic code in two manners: having more than one tRNA (with a specific anti-codon) for a particular amino acid; and 'wobble' base-pairing, i.e. permitting non-standard base-pairing at the 3rd anti-codon position. The record is from RNAcentral. Lineage: Bacteria; Bacillati; Chloroflexota; Anaerolineae.